RNAcentral lists this ribosomal RNA (253 nucleotides) under uncultured bacterium. RNAcentral describes it as "partial 16S ribosomal RNA". It matches the Rfam family "Bacterial small subunit ribosomal RNA", at positions 524 to 776 of the family's 1533-position model. The record is from RNAcentral.
UACGUAGGGUCCGAGCGUUGUCCGGAAUUAUUGGGCGUAAAGAGCUCGUAGGCGGUUUGUCGCGUCUGCUGUGAAAUCCCGAGGCUCAACCUCGGGUCUGCAGUGGGUACGGGCAGACUGGAGUGCGGUAGGGGAGAAUGGAAUUCCUGGUGUAGCGGUGGAAUGCGCAGAUAUCAGGAGGAACACCGAUGGCGAAGGCAGUUCUCUGGGCCGUAGCUGACGCUGAGGAGCGAAAGCGUGGGGAGCGAACAGG